AAGUCGUAACAAGGUUUCCGUAGGUGAACCUGCGGAAGGAUCAUUACCAAAGAAGAACAGAAAACCACUUCAGGGAGGCGGACCUGACGGACGUCUUGAACCCUGUUGGGACCACCCUAUACCUGCGAAACGCCACCGUCCUAGCGGUGGCGGACGAUGAAUCAGGCACGGUGGCCCGUUUACCUUCACAUAAUUCCCUGCGUACCACUUCCACGUUGCUUCCCCGCAAUCCUCACUCAUUGGUGGACGCGGGGAGGUCUCCAACAAACGCACCUGCACUCAACAGCAGUCAGACGGCCAAUGACAAAAUCAUUAAAA
This 318-nucleotide unclassified non-coding RNA is filed under the name plant metagenome. RNAcentral describes it as "partial contains small subunit ribosomal RNA and internal transcribed spacer 1". The stretch from base 1 to 46 matches the Rfam family "Eukaryotic small subunit ribosomal RNA", at positions 1786 to 1831 of the family's 1831-position model. The record is from RNAcentral.